RNAcentral lists this ribosomal RNA (143 nucleotides) under uncultured bacterium. RNAcentral describes it as "partial 16S ribosomal RNA". It matches the Rfam family "Bacterial small subunit ribosomal RNA", at positions 355 to 506 of the family's 1533-position model. The record is from RNAcentral.
UGGGGAAUAUUGCACAAUGGGGGAAACCCUGAUGCAGAGACGCAGCGUGCGGGAUGACGGCCUUCGGGUUGUAAACCGCUUUCAGCAGGGAAGAAGCCUUUAUCGGUGACGGUACCUGCAGAAGAAGUACCGGCUAACUACGU